GGAAUAAUGGACAAUGGAGGCAACUCUGAUCCAGCCAUGCCGCGUGCAGGAAGACCGCCCUACGGGUUGUAAACYGCUUUUAUACAGGAAGAAACCUACCUACGUGUAAGUAGCUGACGGUACUGUAAGAAUAAGSAUCGGCUAACUCCGUGCCAGCAGCCGCGGUAAUACGGAGGAUCCAAGCGUUAUCCGGAAUCAUUGGGUUUAAAGGGUCCGUAGGCGGUCWAUUAAGCAGAGGUGAAAUCCCACAGCUCAACUAUAGAACUGCCUUUGAUACUGAUAGACUUGAGUUAUUGWGAAGUAGUUAGAAURUGUAGUGUAGCGGUGAAAUCAUAGAUAUACACAGAAUACCGAUUGCGAAGCAAUUAUAACAAUAUA
This 378-nucleotide ribosomal RNA is filed under the name uncultured Bacteroidota bacterium. Its description in RNAcentral is "bacterial SSU rRNA". It matches the Rfam family "Bacterial small subunit ribosomal RNA", at positions 358 to 739 of the family's 1533-position model. The record is from RNAcentral. Lineage: Bacteria; Pseudomonadati; Bacteroidota.